RNAcentral lists this ribosomal RNA (610 nucleotides) under Vibrio splendidus. RNAcentral's name for it is "bacterial SSU rRNA". It matches the Rfam family "Bacterial small subunit ribosomal RNA", at positions 86 to 692 of the family's 1533-position model. The record is from RNAcentral. Lineage: Bacteria; Pseudomonadati; Pseudomonadota; Gammaproteobacteria; Vibrionales; Vibrionaceae.
GGGCGUCGAGCGGCGGACGGGUGAGUAAUGCCUAGGAAAUUGCCUUGAUGUGGGGGAUAACCAUUGGAAACGAUGGCUAAUACCGCAUAAUGCCUACGGGCCAAAGAGGGGGACCUUCGGACCUCUCGCGUCAAGAUAUGCCUAGGUGGGAUUAGCUAGUUGGUGAGGUAAUGGCUCACCAAGGCGACGAUCCCUAGCUGGUCUGAGAGGAUGAUCAGCCACACUGGAACUGAGACACGGUCCAGACUCCUACGGGAGGCAGCAGUGGGGAAUAUUGCACAAUGGGCGAAAGCCUGAUGCAGCCAUGCCGCGUGUAUGAAGAAGGCCUUCGGGUUGUAAAGUACUUUCAGUUGUGAGGAAGGGGGUAACGUUAAUAGCGUUAUCUCUUGACGUUAGCAACAGAAGAAGCACCGGCUAACUCCGUGCCAGCAGCCGCGGUAAUACGGAGGGUGCGAGCGUUAAUCGGAAUUACUGGGCGUAAAGCGCAUGCAGGUGGUUCAUUAAGUCAGAUGUGAAAGCCCGGGGCUCAACCUCGGAACUGCAUUUGAAACUGGUGAACUAGAGUGCUGUAGAGGGGGGUAGAAUUUCAGGUGUAGCGGUGAAAUGCGUA